RNA transcript from Triticum urartu, 2042 nucleotides. RefSeq lists it as uncharacterized. The record is from RefSeq and is a predicted model, not a curated record. Lineage: Eukaryota; Viridiplantae; Streptophyta; Magnoliopsida; Poales; Poaceae.
AGGUCAGCCGCGUCCCUGGGGUGCCGGUGGAGCCGCCCCUCCGCGAGAUCCGGCCGCGGAGAGAGCCAUGGUUAGGCGAGGCUGCUGGUGGGGCGAAGAAGCAGGGGAGGCAGGCUACAAGGACGGGAAGCAGCAGGUUGUCGUGGUGCGGUGCUGCUGCUGGGAAGAAGGAGGAGGUCAGCCGCGUCCCUGUGGUGCCGGUGGAGCUGCUCCUCUCAAGCAGUUUCAGAUGGCCAACCAUUAACUGUUAGAGAUGAGAAGUACCUAAUGUAAGACCAAAGGUGGGGUUCUGAUGGUUUUGCUGGAUGGCUGCAGCUAAUCGAGUGGUGUGAGACCCCUCUUGUGUCCCCAAGACAUUGGUCCAUGCUUCUUAUUUUUGGAUGCGUGCCUCUGACAAGCAGAAUUCUUGUUUCUGCAGCUACGCACAGCAAGAUUUUACACAGUUGUCAAUGUCGACCUCACUUGAUAUCUUUUGGUUUUGUCACGAGAAGAUCAAGAUCUUUGAUAAGAUAGUAAUGACACUUUGUUCUGCAAUCUAGGAAUGAAUGAAACUUCAAGACCCUGUUGAACAUGCACUCAAUUUAGCCACAAAGAAACAUAAGAACAAUUGUGUUGGGCAAUCUCACCCACAGGAGGAAAAUCUCACAGUUUGGAUGAGGAUCUAUAGUCCAAAGGUUGGUCAGGUCCUGAUGGAUUGAGAAGGUUCUAUGAUAUCGUGCUUUCUUCCAUCUCUGUUCUAUUCAUCAAGCUUUUCUCAUUUCAAAAGGAGAAUCCCUGCAGGGCAGCCACACAUGACCCCGCUCCCCAGUUUAUUCGUUCAUGGCACAUCAGCUCUUUCACCCACUUGACCCAGCGAUAAAACAAAGGGUUCAGUUCACCCAGUCAUGUCCAAAGUAGCCUCACUCCCUUGUAUUCCCUUGCAGGACUUGAUCCGCUGUCACUCUCCGACUUAUUAUCAUUCAAGAUGGAGGUUUUACUUUCCAGCUUCAGCAAUUUGUUAGAUUUGGUAAUUGAGGUCAUGAGUGCAAAAGUAAUACAGGCAUGCCAAACAAAUCUGAGCCAUUCAUGUCAUCCUGCUCCUCAUUCAUUUCAUUCAAAAAUUAAAUCAGAAAAAAUGUGGAUGUUAUUGUGGCAUCAAUACGGCUUCAUUCCGCUUGAUCCGGCAUGGCAGAUGUCAAUCUUCAUCAUGAAUGCCUAUAUGUAUUUAUUAAUAUCUUUUAUUGUUUGUGUUUAGUGAAUAAAAACUGCAGUAGAUUCCCACCUCUUAUUAUGGACGCACAAGUGCUUCACAAUGUUUCCGUUGCUGAUAUCUUUGCCCUGUCUGUCUAGGUUAAAUGUCAGUGCUUCACAAUGCGCUUUUUACUUUGCACGAUCUAACAAUGCAUGCCAGCCUUCUGAUAAUUAUACAAUAGUAUGCAGCGAUGCUACUAAGGCAUGCUGAAUGCGGAGUUUUAUUUCAUUUAUGUUAGUACCCAUGCGAAUAUUGAAUUGUUUUACUUCGAUGGUUUAACACAUGUCAUAAUAUAGUUGGUAGUUAGGAGAUGGCAUUAAUCUUUUUGUUUCUUUAGCAAAUACUCCCUCCGUUUCAAAAUAGAUGACUCAGUUUAGUACAAAGUUAAUACAAAGUUGGGUCGUCUAUUUUGAAACGGAGGGAGUAGUUCUCAUGUUACAAGGUGCGUGGACAAACAGAUGCAAGGGGCAUUGUUUCACACAACACCCACACCAAUGACCACUGGACGAGUGAAGCAAAAGGACUUGUGAACAACAUGAAAAAGUUUCAGCCAUCUUUUGAUUACACGGAAAUAUGCCUUUGAUGCAUCCGUGUUAUUAUUCAGUGACCGAUUGUGUUUAGCAACUUCAGUGUGUAUACUCUUCAGUAUGUAGCAUCAAGUUAGUGCUAGAUACAUUCAUUUGAGGAACAAACUUGGGACAAACUUUUUCGGACGGAGGGAGUAUAUGAUGUAAUUGACCACUAUCACUAAGAAGUGCUCCUGGACACAAUGCUCUAUAUUAUCAUGUCUUUAGUGCAUUUUAUUGUGCCA